This 93-nucleotide transfer RNA is filed under the name Neoasaia chiangmaiensis. Its description in RNAcentral is "tRNA-Ser". Lineage: Bacteria; Pseudomonadati; Pseudomonadota; Alphaproteobacteria; Acetobacterales; Acetobacteraceae. The record is from RNAcentral.
CCGGCAUCGAGGCACAUGCGGACUUCGCCGAUGGAGGCGGCGUCGAAUGACGAGCCCAGUGCGACGAGGCGUUCGAGAAUCGCCUGUGCCGGA